Molecule: long non-coding RNA, 416 nt
Organism: Labeo rohita (rohu)
Lineage: Eukaryota; Metazoa; Chordata; Actinopteri; Cypriniformes; Cyprinidae
Exons: 3
Source: RefSeq, a predicted model, not a curated record
CAGCUGAUGCUGCAAUGGGAGACAAACUUAAAAGAGACCUCCAGAACCUGCAAAGAAAGAAAGCACCAGUAACCUCUACUCCAAUGUCAGAUGACUCAGAUAACACUGACAUUGACCUGUUUGAAAAUACAGAGCAGAGACAAUCAAGGAAAAGAAGCUUCCUGGGAUUGUAUCAUCUGUCAAAGAUGUCCUAGAGUCCAUGAAAAGAGGCCCAUACAGCUCAAGAUCAAGUUCCAGUGAGCUGUCUCUUGCUGAAUCCUCAGAAAUGAUUUCUCUUGCUGAUUCAGAUGUCACAGUGUCCAAGAGGAUGUAUGACAGACUGAAUAAGUCACGAGUUUCUCUUUUUAUGCAAGAACUAGCCACUCUAAUUUUUGGAAAAGAGAAACUAGCAAGAUGUACUCUUACAGGGAAAUUGG